CUACGGAGGAUCCGAGCGUUAUCCGGAUUUAUUGGGUUUAAAGGGUGCGCAGGCGGCCAUUUAAGUCAGCGGUUAAAUCGUGGGGCUCAACCCCAUUCUGCCGUUGAUACUAGGUGGCUUGAUUGCGGUCGAGGUUGGCGGAAUUCGUUGUGUAGCGGUGAAAUGCAUAGAUAUGACGAAGAACACCGAUUGCGUAGGCAGCUGACCAGACCGCAAAUGACGCUCAUGCACGAAAGUGCGGGGAUCGAACAGGAUUAGAUACCCUGGUAGUCCGCACAGUAAAUGAUGAAUACUUGUUUUCGGCGAUAUAAUGUCGGAGGCAAAGCGAAAGCGAUAAGUAUUCCACCUGGGGAGUACGCCGGCAACGGUGAAACUCAAAGGAAUUGACGGGG
This 392-nucleotide ribosomal RNA is filed under the name uncultured bacterium. RNAcentral describes it as "partial 16S ribosomal RNA". It matches the Rfam family "Bacterial small subunit ribosomal RNA", at positions 523 to 918 of the family's 1533-position model. The record is from RNAcentral.